Long non-coding RNA from Sorghum bicolor (sorghum), 335 nucleotides. RefSeq lists it as uncharacterized. The record is from RefSeq and is a predicted model, not a curated record. The transcript is spliced from 4 exons. NCBI's taxonomy places the organism in Eukaryota, Viridiplantae, Streptophyta, Magnoliopsida, Poales, Poaceae.
GUCCACGUCGCUGGCCGCCUCUUCGUGAGUCCACGCCGCUGGCCACCUCUCUGCGAGUCCCCUCCAUCGAUAGCCUCCUGCAACAUCCGCUCCAGCAAGUAGGGCGACACUGCCUCCACGACGCAGGCACAUCUUGGGUUUCAUGGCAACAUGUUGUUGGAGCCCUUCGUGUUGACGCGAGGUCUAUCUACAAACAGAGGUGGGCACCAACCUUCGGAUCCUAAUGGAUAACUAUCUAUACCAUCUUCAUAAGGUUAUUAGCUAAAGGUCCAUGACAUUUUUGCAGCUGCUCAUGCCCAUAUCUAUCUCAGGUGUGAACUAAUAUCUCAGCAAUU